UACGUAGGGCGCAAGCGUUGUCCGGAAUUAUUGGGCGUAAAGAGCUCGUAGGCGGCUUGUCACGUCGAUUGUGAAAGCCCGAGGCUUAACCUCGGGUCUGCAGUCGAUACGGGCUAGCUAGAGUGUGGUAGAGGGCGGUAGAAUUCCAGGUGUAGCGGUGAAAUGCGUAGAUAUCUGGAGGAACACCGAUGGCGAAGGCAGCCGCCUGGGCCACAACUGACGCUGAGGUACGAAAGCGUGGGGAGCAAACAGG
Molecule: ribosomal RNA, 253 nt
Filed under: uncultured bacterium
Lineage: Bacteria
Description: partial 16S ribosomal RNA
Rfam family: Bacterial small subunit ribosomal RNA
Source: RNAcentral